RNAcentral lists this small RNA (504 nucleotides) under Pongo abelii (Sumatran orangutan). RNAcentral's name for it is "processed transcript". Lineage: Eukaryota; Metazoa; Chordata; Mammalia; Primates; Hominidae. The record is from RNAcentral.
UUGACUACCAUUCAUCAGCCAUGACCCCCAAGUGCCAUCUCUGGGCUUAAGUAGGAGGCAACCUCUGGCCUACACAGACUGGCAGGGUGCCGUCCCUGGCUGCAGGGCUGCUCUUCGGCAGUCUAGCCGGCCUGGGUGCUUACCAGCUGUAUCAGGAUCCAAGGAACGUUUGGGGUUUCCUAGCCGCUACAUCUGUUACUUUUGUUGGUGUUAUGGGAAUGAGAUCCUACUACUAUGGAAAAUUCAUGCCUGUAGGUUUAAUUGCAGGUGCCAGUUUGCUGAUGGCCGCCAAAGUUGGAGUUCGUAUGUUGAUGACAUCUGAUUAGCAGAAGUCAUGUUCCAGCUUGGACUCAUGAAGGAUUAAAAAUCUGCAUCUUCCACUAUUUUCAAUGUAUUAAGAGAAAUAAGUGCAGCAUUUUUGCAUCUGACAUUUUACCUAAAAAAAAAAGACACCAAAUUUGGCGGAGGGGUGGAAAAUCAGUUGUUACCAUUAUAACCCUACAG